GACGAACGCUGGCGGCGUGCUUAACACAUGCAAGUCGAACGCUGAAGCUUGGUGCUUGCACUGGGUGGAUGAGUGGCGAACGGGUGAGUAAUACGUGAGUAACCUGCCCUUGACUCUGGGAUAAGCCUGGGAAACUGGGUCUAAUACUGGAUACGACAUGUCACCGCAUGGUGGUGUGUGGAAAGGGUUUUACUGGUUUUGGAUGGGCACACGGCCUAUCAGCUUGUUGGUGGGGUAAUGGCUCACCAAGGCGACGACGGGUAGCCGGCCUGAGAGGGUGACCGGCCACACUGGGACUGAGACACGGCCCAGACUCCUACGGGAGGCAGCAGUGGGGAAUAUUGCACAAUGGGCGAAAGCCUGAUGCAGCGACGCCGCGUGAGGGAUGACGGCCUUCGGGUUGUAAACCUCUUUCAGCACGGAAGAAGCGAAAGUGACGGUACGUGCAGAAGAAGCGCCGGCUAACUACGUG
RNAcentral lists this ribosomal RNA (472 nucleotides) under uncultured bacterium. RNAcentral's name for it is "partial 16S ribosomal RNA". It matches the Rfam family "Bacterial small subunit ribosomal RNA", at positions 28 to 507 of the family's 1533-position model. The record is from RNAcentral.